UACGUAGGUGGCAAGCGUUGUCCGGAUUUACUGGGCGUAAAGAGCGCGCAGGCGGUCGGAUCAGUCGAAUGUGAAAGCCCCCGGCUCAACUGGGGAGGGUCAUUCGAUACUGUCCGACUCGAAGGCAGGAGAGGGAAGCGGAAUUCCCGGUGUAGUGGUGAAAUGCGUAGAUAUCGGGAGGAACACCAGUGGCGAAGGCGGCUUUCUGGCCUGUUUCUUGACGCUGAGGCGCGAAAGCUAGGGGAGCGAACGGG
This 254-nucleotide ribosomal RNA is filed under the name uncultured bacterium. RNAcentral's name for it is "partial 16S ribosomal RNA". It matches the Rfam family "Bacterial small subunit ribosomal RNA", at positions 524 to 776 of the family's 1533-position model. The record is from RNAcentral.